RNAcentral lists this ribosomal RNA (253 nucleotides) under uncultured bacterium. Its description in RNAcentral is "partial 16S ribosomal RNA". It matches the Rfam family "Bacterial small subunit ribosomal RNA", at positions 524 to 776 of the family's 1533-position model. The record is from RNAcentral.
UACGUAGGUGGCAAGCGUUGUCCGGAAUUAUUGGGCGUAAAGCGCGCGCAGGCGGCUUCUUAAGUCUGAUGUGAAAUCUCGGGGCUCAACCCCGAGCGGCCAUUGGAAACUGGGAAGCUUGAGUACAGAAGAGGAGAGUGGAAUUCCACGUGUAGCGGUGAAAUGCGUAGAUAUGUGGAGGAACACCAGUGGCGAAGGCGACUCUCUGGUCUGUAACUGACGCUGAGGAGCGAAAGCGUGGGGAGCGAACAGG